Molecule: small RNA, 735 nt
Filed under: Pan troglodytes (chimpanzee)
Lineage: Eukaryota; Metazoa; Chordata; Mammalia; Primates; Hominidae
Description: retained intron
Source: RNAcentral
GAGAGUUGUCUUUUCUUGUCAUUAGUCCCAUCGGUAUUUCUGAUGACCAGAAGCGUACUACAAAAUACAGUGCCUUUAUUCAGUACAAUGGACUCUGUUUUCUAGUAUUUAAAAUGUUAAGCAAAUUGUUGGCUGUGUAGAAAUCUAAAGAUUUACUUUUUUUUAUAUUGUCGGAGAACAACAAUCUGAAUUUUCAAGUUUUGACAAGAAUGAUAGCCGAGGCCAGGAAGCAAUCUCCAAACGCUUGUCAGUUGUAUCAAGAGUUCCUUUCACUGAAGAACAGCUUUUCAGCAUUUUUGAUAUAGUACCAGGAUUGGAAUAUUGUGAAGUUCAACGAGAUCCUUAUUCAAAUUAUGGUCAUGGAGUGGUUCAGUAUUUUAAUGUAGCAUCAGCUAUUUAUGCAAAAUACAAAUUACAUGGAUUUCAGUACCCUCCUGGGAACCGAAUAGGUGUUUCCUUCAUUGAUGAUGGAAGUAAUGCAACAGAUCUCCUUAGAAAAAUGGCAACACAGAUGGUAGCUGCACAGCUUGCAUCAAUGGUGUGGAAUAACCCAAGUCAGCAACAAUUUAUGCAAUUUGGAGGAAGCUCUGGAUCACAGUUGCCUCAAAUCCAGACAGAUGUUGUACUUCCAUCAUGCAAAAAAAAAGCUCCUGCUGAAACUCCUGUGAAAGAAAGACUUUUUAUUGUGUUUAAUCCUCAUCCUUUACCUUUAGACGUAUUAGAAGAUAUAUUCUG